This 497-nucleotide ribosomal RNA is filed under the name uncultured bacterium. RNAcentral's name for it is "partial 16S ribosomal RNA". It matches the Rfam family "Bacterial small subunit ribosomal RNA", at positions 28 to 507 of the family's 1533-position model. The record is from RNAcentral.
GAUGAACGCUGGCGGCGUGCCUAAUACAUGCAAGUCGAGCGAACGGACGAGAAGCUUGCUUCUCUGAUGUUAGCGGCGGACGGGUGAGUAACACGUGGAUAACCUACCUAUAAGACUGGGAUAACUUCGGGAAACCGGAGCUCAUACCGGAUAAUAUUUUGAACCGCAUGGUUCCAAAGUGAAAGACGGUCUUGCUGUCACUUAUAGAUGGAUCCGCGCUGCAUUAGCUAGUUGGUAAGGUAACGGCUUACCAAGGCAACGAUGCAUAGCCGACCUGAGAGGGUGAACGGCCACACGGGAACUGAGAAACGGUCCAGACUCCUACGGGAGGCAGCAGUAGGGAAUCUUCCGCAAUGGGCGAAAGCCUGACGGAGCAACGCCGCGUGAGUGAUGAAGGUCUUCGGAUCGUAAAACUCUGUUAUUAGGGAAGAACAUAUGUGUAAGUAACUGUGCACAUCUUGACGGUACCUAAUCAGAAAGCCACGGCUAACUACGUG